Molecule: long non-coding RNA, 1585 nt
Organism: Acanthopagrus latus (yellowfin seabream)
Lineage: Eukaryota; Metazoa; Chordata; Actinopteri; Spariformes; Sparidae
Exons: 4
Source: RefSeq, a predicted model, not a curated record
UGAUUGUUUUUAGUAACGUCGCUCUGCACUCAACUACACCUGAGUCUGAAACAGGAAGUUGCAGGACGCUAUCCGGCAAGAAGUCACACUCAGGCGUUGUUUGGUACAGUUGCUUUCACACCUGACGCCAACUGGACCCAAGCACACAUGAACAGAACUCAAGACCACCUCUUCAUGCAGACCCAGGCACAGUUCACGAACUGGACCCAGGUACGGUUCACUUGUGUCCACACUGAUCAAAGGAGCUGGACUUUGGGGUCAGUGGCAUUAUUACCAGCAUUUCUGGCCGAACAGAUUCAAACUGAGCCGGUCCUAUUGUGCUGAGUUGAGCCGUCCUGAUGGACCUGUUCUGGUGGAGGGCAAAGUUUGUCCAGCCCGCCUCCAAGUGGAUCGCAAUGAUGUCACGUGAACUGCAGCAAAUCAGUGACUAACCCUGUGUCUGCCCAGUGAGAGCACCCUUAGUUUUUGUUGUUCUUCCUGUUUUACCAACGUGACCUGAACGCAUCUUAAGGAUCCGUUCAGUACCACCAACCAGAACAUAAAGGUCUCAAACCCAGAAUACUACUGAAUGAGAUGAAUGUCUUCAGCAGAUGCUCACAGGGAGUCUGUGAUCAUGUGUCCCUUCAGUUCUGAGUGUGUUUCUGCUGUGAACACACCGACAUGAAGCUCCCUGACAGUCUGUUAGAUAACAUGUUAUCUAAGUUUGUCCUGCGGCUGUUUCCUCCACUCAUCUGAUCCUGAAUCAUGUUAUCAUUCGACCGUGUUGCUUCUAUCCCACCACAGUUCACAAAGAAGCGCAGAGAUCAAAAACGAUCCAAUGAAAAGAUCGAUGAGUGGCACAGUGAGGUCAUCGCUCCGGGGUCGGAGCUGCACAUGCUCAGUGAGCUCUACGUCAGACACUGACCUUCACUCAGACCAGAGCCGGCUGCAGACAGGAAGUGACUCUGCUGUUUGUCUGUUUGUUUGAGGCAAGGGACAGAGUUAAUUUAAAGGCUACUGCACCAGAACAGAACCAGGAGGUCCAACAGCAGACGGUUUCAACAUGGAUGAAGCUUCUACAGCCGACAUCUUUCAACACAGCAGCGAACCGUCACGACAUCACAGAGACCGUGUCGGACCGACUGACCCGUGACUGGAAGUGACAGUUUGAGGAAGGCGUGUGUGUUGGGACUAUUUCCAGCAGCGGAUGAAUCCACAUUUGGAGCUGCGGAGAGUCUCUGGGGCAGCACAUCCAUUCGGACUCCGAGCUAUCAGCACCAGCACCUUCAUAUGCAUCUAGAUUAAACACAAACCAAUCAGACACAUAAUGAACCAGUGAGACCAGCUCACAUCAGGACAUAAACUAGACUGGGACCCAAAACCAAACCAGGACCCAAAACCAGCUCAGACUGGGACCCAAAACCAAACCAGGACCCAAAACCAGCUCAGACUGGGACCCAAAACCAGCUCAGACCAAGAGACACUGCAGGAGACAUUCAAGGCCAAAAACCAUCAGAUGCAACACAUCCUGACGCCCGACUGGAGAAAAAGCAGCUCUGGUGUUUGAAUGAUGAAUAAAAUCUCUGUCAUGUUUUUAUCUCCAGGA